CCACGGGCACGGUGAUGACGGUGACGAGCGCAGCUAUCCCCAGCAGUCCCAGGAGCACCUUCCACGGUGUCUGCAAGCCGGGCAGAUCACUUCCAGUUAGAGCCAGUCGCUUGGCCCCAGUUUGGGGAGGAAGCCUGAGCACAGGAGGUUAAGUCACUUGGCCAAGUCAAGGCAGCUAGGAAGUCGUGGAGCCUGAAUUCAGAGUCCAUGUUCUCAACCACUACACCCCAUGGCCUUUCAUCUUUCAGUCUUGCAAAGAGGAUUUGGAAAAAAGCGAUAGGUCCCCACGAUGCCCUGUAGGUUCCCCUAUCAUUCCUUUUUUCCUUCUUCAUCCAUCCCUACAUUCUCCCCUUUAUUUCACCCAUUCUACAAAUAUUUGAGUGGAUACAAAAUACCAGACUAUCGUCUAGAUGCUGGAGGUAGAGAAGUGGGAUGACAUUGAUGACGUUUGUGCACCUGGCACUUUCAGUCUGAAACACAUAGGUGAAACUUUGCAGGGAGGGCCCCUCUAUGCUUACUUCCCUCUUGUGGAUAAGUACUCCUCCUCCCUAAAAGGCCUCUUCAGCCCAUUCACUCAGAUGCAGAACAAAGCCUUUCUGUCCAAAAAGAGAUAGAGGAUUAAAAACACAAAGUCCUAGGGGGCAAUUAACACAUGAUUAUGAAUAAAUUCCAUUCUCUAUCCUUCAUCUCCAGUCCAGACAGUGCUUCUGAAUGCAGGGAUCUUUUCCCCUCUGGCUAUAAACAAGUUGCUUAUGACACAUCCACUCCUCCACACCCACUUCGGAAGCUCAAACCGGAACUCUUCAUCCUUUCCAUCAGCCUCACCCAGCCCUUCUCUUAUCAUCUCUGUCGUCAUGAAACGUGUCCCCACUCACCAGUUACACAAACUAAAGACUUUAGCCAUAUCAUUUUUCCUUCUUUAUUCGCCUGCUGCAUUCACUUGACCAUCAAUCAAUUCCUCUCAAUUCUGCCUUUAUGAGUAUUUCUCAAAUCCAGCCCUUCCUCCUUCUUCAAGCUGCUGGGGACAGUGAGUCAGUAGAGUUAUUGCAGCCUGGCAUCUGGAGCUGGGAAGAGAGGCCCUCCAGCAAGGACUGCAGGGAAUGGUGCCAUACCGGGGGCUCAGUAUUGGCCUAUGCUCUCCCUGGUUUGUACACUCAGGAAUGGAGGAGGGAAGUCCAUAUGGUUGAGCACAUGCUUAACCUCCAUACCUGCACCAUGACAUUAUAUAUUAAGCCACCCCUGGGGAAGUGGGGGGAAGUUGGCUGGCAUCCGUGGGGCAGAUCAU
Sus scrofa (pig) is the source of this 1285-nucleotide long non-coding RNA. RefSeq lists it as uncharacterized. The record is from RefSeq and is a predicted model, not a curated record. Lineage: Eukaryota; Metazoa; Chordata; Mammalia; Artiodactyla; Suidae.